UCCACUGACGUCCAUGAAAAAAAAAAUAUGAAUUUGCCAGCAUGCUUCUUACAUUUGACGUGUAUUUUAAUUUAUCACUCUUAGAAGUGGAGGAUAGUGGAAGAAAUAUCAGAAAAGCACUGAACAAGAGCUAAUAGAUGAUAUCAGAGUUGCCAAGAUAUUGUUAAAUUUGUUCCUUUCUUCCAUGAAGUCAGCAUCAAUCAUUAUUAUAUGAAGCCAAU
RNAcentral lists this long non-coding RNA (221 nucleotides) under Vigna radiata. RNAcentral's name for it is "long non-coding RNA (VRAD_LNC006263)". The record is from RNAcentral. Lineage: Eukaryota; Viridiplantae; Streptophyta; Magnoliopsida; Fabales; Fabaceae.